This 1262-nucleotide long non-coding RNA is filed under the name Homo sapiens (human). RNAcentral describes it as "HSALNT0050901". Lineage: Eukaryota; Metazoa; Chordata; Mammalia; Primates; Hominidae. The record is from RNAcentral.
GACUAAGCUCUUCCCUCUGGACCUGCAGAGGAAGAAAAACUGCUUCAUAACCUGCAACUGAGGAGUCACCUUCAGGGGAAGAGGUGGGCCAGGGAGGAGGAGCCAGCCUCGGGCACAGAGAACCCAAGCCAGGACCCGUCAGGACCCUGGAGAGCUCCGAGCCAGCUGGAUGUUCAGUGUUCUGCACCAUGCAGCAAAUCUGGCCAAGUCGGGAGAAGUCUCCUUUCUCAAACCCCCUUCUGACUUUUAAAGGAAGGGAUGCCUUCCACUCUGUUGAGAACUUGUGUUAUCCAAGGACGCAGAGGCUAAAAAAUAGAAUCUUGGAGUGUUGGGGCGGAAAGUGGCUGUCACUGACUUCCCUCUGAGAUUCCAACCUCAAAUCUGACUACAUCACAUGAUCAGUGGUCAAGUUCUGGUUCCAAAGCUGGUCUCUAACCUCGGGGAGGAAAUUUAACACCAGAAAGCCUACAAUGGAAGAGCUACUAAAAGAAACAAUAAAUGGCUCACAUUCUGUGAGUAGCGUGUGUAUUUGGUUCUAGAGCCCCAGAGAAGUGAAAUGAACUAGACAAAGUUACCCCUAAAAUGUUCCAUAUGAUUUGGAUGUGUGUUCUCUCCAAAUCUCAGGUUGAAAUGUGAUCUCUAAAGUUGGAAGUGGGGCCUGGCGGGAGGUGAUUGGAUCAGGGAGGCGGAUGUCUCAUAAAUGGUUUAGCACCAUCCUCCUGGUGAUGAGUGAGUUCUCGCUCUGGUAGUUCAUGAGAGAUCUGAUUGUUCAAAAGAGCAUGGCACCUCCCCCCACCACUUCUUGUGCCCACUCUCACCAUGUCACAUGCUGGCUCCCUGCUGCCUUCCGCCAUGAUUUUAAGCUUCCUGAGGCCUCACUAGAAGCCAAGCAGAUGUUGGUACCAUGCUUCUCAUACAGCCUCCAGAAACAGGAGUCAGUUAAACCUGUUUUCUUUGUACAUUGCCCAGUCUCAGGUAUUCUUUUAUAGUGACACAAAAUGGCCUACCACAACGAUGCCUCACAUUCUCAAGAGAAACCAAAUGUGCAAAGGGUUUAAGAGUCUGUUUGACUCUAACUCCUCCUCAGAGAGCAGCAAUGGAUCUUUUGGGGUUCCCGCAAGGUAUUCCCAUCUAAUGGCACCAGAAGAGUGGUCCACAAAGAAUCUAGGCUUUGCAGUUCUUUGUACUCUACCCUAUCUUCCUUUUCCUCUUUCCCCAGUAGAAAGCCUGCAAUGUGAAAGAGCUACAUAAAAACCAAUAAA